Molecule: ribosomal RNA, 94 nt
Filed under: Pannonibacter indicus
Lineage: Bacteria; Pseudomonadati; Pseudomonadota; Alphaproteobacteria; Hyphomicrobiales; Stappiaceae
Description: 16S rRNA. Bacterial SSU
Rfam family: Bacterial small subunit ribosomal RNA
Source: RNAcentral
UUUAACCUGAGAGUUUGAUCCUGGCUCAGAACGAACGCUGGCGGCAGGCUUAACACAUGCAAGUCGAACGCCCUGGUAACGGGGAGUGGCAGAC